This 51-nucleotide transfer RNA is filed under the name Salmo salar (Atlantic salmon). It matches the Rfam family "tRNA", at positions 10 to 63 of the family's 71-position model. Rfam says of the family: Transfer RNA (tRNA) molecules are approximately 80 nucleotides in length. Their secondary structure includes four short double-helical elements and three loops (D, anti-codon, and T loops). Further hydrogen bonds mediate the characteristic L-shaped molecular structure. tRNAs have two regions of fundamental functional importance: the anti-codon, which is responsible for specific mRNA codon recognition, and the 3' end, to which the tRNAs corresponding amino acid is attached (by aminoacyl-tRNA synthetases). tRNAs cope with the degeneracy of the genetic code in two manners: having more than one tRNA (with a specific anti-codon) for a particular amino acid; and 'wobble' base-pairing, i.e. permitting non-standard base-pairing at the 3rd anti-codon position. Lineage: Eukaryota; Metazoa; Chordata; Actinopteri; Salmoniformes; Salmonidae. The record is from Rfam by way of RNAcentral.
GUUAAUAAAACAUGGUACUUGCAAUGCCAGGGUUGUGGGUUCGAUUCCCAC